AUUUGGAGAGGAUGCUUCUGGCGCGGCGCCGUCCGAGUUCCUUGGAACAGGACGCCAUAGAGGGUGAGAGCCCCGUACGGGCGGACGCCUAGCCUCUGUGAAGCUCCUUCGACGAGUCGAGUAGUUUGGGAAUGCUGCUCAAAAUGGGAGGUAAAUUUCUUCUAAAGCUAAAUACCGGCCAGAGACCGAUAGCGCACAAGUAGAGUGAUCGAAAGAUGAAAAGCACUUUGAAAAGAGGGUUAAAAAGUACGUGAAAUUGUUGAAAGGGAAGCGCCUGUGACCAGACUUGCUGCCCGCGGAUCAUCCGGCGUUCCUCGCCGGUGCACUCCGCGGGCGGCAGGCCAGCAUCGGUUUUCCUGGGGGGUCAAAGGUCGCGGGAACGUGGCUCCUUCGGGAGUGUUAUAGCCCGCGGCGUCAUGCCUCUGGGGGGACCGAGGACCGCGCUUCGGCAAGGAUGCUGGCGUAAUGGUCACCGGCGACCCGUCUUGAAACACGGACCAAGGAGUCAAGCAUUGGGGCGAGUGUCUGGGUGCCAAACCCGCACGCGAAAUGAAAGUAAACGCAGGUGAGAGCUUCGGCGCAUCACCGACCGAUCCUGAUGUCUUCGGAUGGAUUUGAGUAAGAGCCUUACCGCUUGGACCCGAAAGAUGGUGAACUAUGCCUGUAUAGGGUGAAGCCAGAGGAAACUCUGGUGGAGG
RNAcentral lists this ribosomal RNA (698 nucleotides) under Ophiostoma montium. RNAcentral describes it as "eukaryotic LSU rRNA". It matches the Rfam family "Eukaryotic large subunit ribosomal RNA", at positions 148 to 873 of the family's 3401-position model. Lineage: Eukaryota; Fungi; Ascomycota; Sordariomycetes; Ophiostomatales; Ophiostomataceae. The record is from RNAcentral.